UCCCACCUGAGAGCUGGACCUCAGCAACAACAAACCAGGAGACUCAGGAGUGAUGCAGCUCUCUACUCUACUGGAUGAUCCACGCUGUAAACUGGCAACGCUGAAACUAUCAGACUGUGGUCUUACAGAGGAAGGAUCUGAGGUCAAACCCCUCCCACCUGAGAGAGCUGGACCUCAGCUGCAAUAACCCAGGAGUCUCAGGAGUGAAGCUGCUCUCUGCUGUACUGGAGCAUCCAGUCUGUCAGCUGGAGAUACUGAAGCUUUGGCACUGUGCAAUCACAGAGGAAGGCUUUGCUUCUCUGGCUUCAGCUGUGAAGUCAACCCCCUCGCGCAUGUAGCUGCUGGAUCUGAAUGGGAAUGAUCCAGGAGAAUAAGGAGUGAAAUUGUUCUCAGCUCUACUGAAGGGUCCACAAUGUAGACUGCCCAAACUGAUAGUGACUGGAUUGGAAGAAACCCUUUGCUACAACGAGCCAGGAGCCUCAGCAGUGAUCAAAUGAACCUGUUGGAGCCGAUGGAAAUGACAUGACUGAAAUUCACCUCAAGUUCAAAUAUCCAUUUCUGAUGUAUUGUUUUGUAACACAUGUCAAAUGUUUUGUAUACUUGUGCAGCUACUUCGUUAAAAUGUAGAACUAUUAGGCCUA
Molecule: non-coding RNA, 641 nt
Organism: Salmo salar (Atlantic salmon)
Lineage: Eukaryota; Metazoa; Chordata; Actinopteri; Salmoniformes; Salmonidae
Source: RefSeq, a predicted model, not a curated record